AAUGGGGUGUGAGGAAUGUGAAGUAUUUGGGAUUUCCAUUCCAAAGAAUAGUCCAAUAAAAAAGGAUAAUUGGAGGAAAGGAAAACCAAAAUUUAAGUAGAAAAGCAACCUAAACAAGAAAUCCUUAAUCUAGCUUACACAAGACAAAGCAUUACAUUUAAGUUAAGGGCACAAGUGAUCGCCAACAAUAUCUAGUAUAAACCUCAUGCAGACUAAUCAAAAGCCACAACAUGCAGAGUUGAUGAAUAUCCCAACUCCCAUAAAGCUAGACAUGAGCAGUGCCCUCGGUGAAUUUGGGAUCUUCGCAUCUGUACCGCCCAUCAGGUCCAAUUCCAAAGCCUUUUGGAUCUGCAAAAACAUUCUCUCGCAGCCACCUACUAGAGGGGCUCUCAUUUGCAAACUCAACAGCAUCCUCAACCACUUCAUCUAUCUUUUCCUCAAUGACCUUCAACUCUGCUUCACUGGCUAGGCUUUUCUCAAUUAUAUAUUUCUUCAACGAUAUUAUGGGAUCUCUAGCAGCAUAGUGAGACUUUUCAGCAGGGUCACGAAGCUCAUCCGGAUCAGCUAAUGAGUGUCCUCUAAACCU
RNAcentral lists this unclassified non-coding RNA (586 nucleotides) under Hevea brasiliensis (rubber tree). The record is from RNAcentral. Lineage: Eukaryota; Viridiplantae; Streptophyta; Magnoliopsida; Malpighiales; Euphorbiaceae.